RNAcentral lists this transfer RNA (84 nucleotides) under Myxococcales bacterium. RNAcentral describes it as "tRNA-Leu". It matches the Rfam family "tRNA". From Rfam's summary of the family: Transfer RNA (tRNA) molecules are approximately 80 nucleotides in length. The record is from RNAcentral. Lineage: Bacteria; Pseudomonadati; Myxococcota; Myxococcia; Myxococcales.
GCGAGAAUGGUGGAAUUGGUAGACACGCAAGGCUAAGGACCUUGUGGCCGCAAGGCUGUGAGGGUUCGAGUCCCUCUUCUCGCA